UCCAAAUUAUUGAGCCAUUUUCUGUGUGGACAUCAGGCCUAUGUUGGGACAACAGCUCUACCAGCUUGAACUUGUUCGGUGCCGAGCUCAUGGGAUUCUGCACAUCAUAGAUGAUACAAUGAAGAUAAAGUGCUUGGAAUGUGGAUCAAGGCAUUUGCUUGGGAGUGAU
Long non-coding RNA from Choloepus didactylus (southern two-toed sloth), 169 nucleotides. RefSeq lists it as uncharacterized. The transcript has 3 exons. Lineage: Eukaryota; Metazoa; Chordata; Mammalia; Pilosa; Megalonychidae. The record is from RefSeq and is a predicted model, not a curated record.